CACUCGGCUCGUGGAUCGAUGAAGAACGCACAAA
This 34-nucleotide ribosomal RNA is filed under the name Cordulegaster diastatops. RNAcentral's name for it is "partial 5.8S ribosomal RNA". Lineage: Eukaryota; Metazoa; Arthropoda; Insecta; Odonata; Cordulegastridae. The record is from RNAcentral.